Molecule: ribosomal RNA, 480 nt
Filed under: uncultured bacterium
Lineage: Bacteria
Description: bacterial SSU rRNA
Rfam family: Bacterial small subunit ribosomal RNA
Source: RNAcentral
GAUGAACGCUAGCGGCAGGCCUACCUCAUGCAAGUCGAGGGGUAAAAGGAGCUUGCUCCUUUGAAACCGGCGCACGGGUGCGUAACGCGUAUGCAAUCUGCCUUGUACAGAGGGAUAGCCCAAAAAAAUUUGGAUUAAUACCUCAUAGUGUAAUGAUAUGGCAUCAUAUUAUUACUAAAGCUUCGGCGGUACAAAAUGAGCAUGCGUCCCAUUAGCUAGUUGGUAAGGUAACGGCUUACCAAGGCUACAAUGGGUAGGGGUCCUGAAAGGGAAAUCCCCCACACUGGUACUGAAACACGGACCAAACUCCUACGGGAGGCAGCAGUGAGGAAUAUUGGUCAAUGGUCGAAAAACUGAACCAGCCAUGCCGCGUGAAGGAUGAAGGCCCUCUGGGUUGUAAACUUCUUUUAUCUGGAACAAAAAAAGGUCAUUCCUGACCACUUGACGGUACCAAAGGAAUAAGCACCGGCUAACUCCGUG